This 446-nucleotide ribosomal RNA is filed under the name uncultured bacterium. RNAcentral describes it as "partial 16S ribosomal RNA". It matches the Rfam family "Bacterial small subunit ribosomal RNA", at positions 338 to 795 of the family's 1533-position model. The record is from RNAcentral.
CCUACGGGUGGCUGCAGUCGAGAAUUAUUCACAAUGGGGGAAACCCUGAUGGUGCGACGCCGCGUGGAGGAAUGAAGUUCCUCGGAUUGUAAACUCCUGUCGUGUGGGGGCAAAUUCAAAAGAUAGUACCACAAGAGGGAGAGACGGCUAACACUGUGCGACCAACCGCGGUAAUACAGCGGUCUCACGCGUUGUUCGGGAGGACUGGGCGUAAAGCGUGCGUAGGCUGUGUUGUAAGUGGGGUGUGAAAAGUGCGGGAUCAAACCGCGGCGGGCACAUGAUACUGCGAGACUAGAGGGGUCGAGGGGGAACCGGAAUGCUCGGUGUAGCAGUGAAAUGCGUAGAUAUCGAGAGGAACACUCGUGGCGAAGGCGGGUUCCUGGACAUUAACUGACGCUGAGGCACGAAGGCCAGGGGAGCGAAAGGGAUUAGAUACCCGGGUAGUC